GAUGAACGCUGGCGGCGUGCCUAAUACAUGCAAGUCGAGCGAACGGACGAGAAGCUUGCUUAUCUGAUGUUAGCGGCGGACGGGUGAGUAACACGUGGAUAACCUACCUAUAAGACUGGGAUAACUUCGGGAAACCGUAGCUAAUACCGGAUAAUAUUUUGAACCGCAUGGUUCAAAAGUGAAAGACGGUCUUGCUGUCACUUAUAGAUGGAUCCGCGCUGCAUUAGCUAGUUGGUAAGGUAACGGCUUACCAAGGCAACGAUGCAUAGCCGACCUGAGAGGGUGAUCGGCCACACUGGAACUGGGACACGGUCCAGACUCCUACGGGAGGCAGCAGUAGGGAAUCUUCCGCAAUGGGCGAAAGCCUGACGGAGCAACGCCGCGUGAGUGAUGAAGGUCUUCGGAUCGUAAAACUCUGUUAUUAGGGAAGAACAUAUGUGUAAGUAACUGUGCACAUCUUGACGGUACCUAAUCAGAAAGCCACGGCUAACUACGUG
This 497-nucleotide ribosomal RNA is filed under the name uncultured bacterium. RNAcentral describes it as "partial 16S ribosomal RNA". It matches the Rfam family "Bacterial small subunit ribosomal RNA", at positions 28 to 507 of the family's 1533-position model. The record is from RNAcentral.